CAAACUGCACUUCAUGAGGAGAAAACUGAAGAAUCAGUGAAGGAUCAAGAAGCUACAACAGAUGAAGUAGUUGCCGAAGCUCCAGCAGCGGAACCAGUUGCCGAAGAGCCAAAGGAAGCGGAGCUUGCGGCGGUGGUAGUCGAGGAACCUGAAGCCUCAGUUGAAGUUGAAACCAAGGAGGUGGUAGAAGAACCAAAGGCUGUUACUGAGGAGCCAGUAGUAGAGGAGGCUCCUAAGGAAACAGUGCCAGAACCAGUUGCCGAGGAGAUCAAGGAAACCACUGAACAAACCGUUGAAACCAAAGAAACUACAGAGUCUAGUGAGGCAGCAGCAGAAGCACCCAAAGAGGAAGUUAAGAAGGAAGAAGAAGCAAAACCAGC
Molecule: long non-coding RNA, 380 nt
Filed under: Gossypium barbadense (sea-island cotton)
Lineage: Eukaryota; Viridiplantae; Streptophyta; Magnoliopsida; Malvales; Malvaceae
Description: long non-coding RNA (GBAR_LNC018127)
Source: RNAcentral